Long non-coding RNA from Bradysia coprophila, 207 nucleotides. NCBI's taxonomy places the organism in Eukaryota, Metazoa, Arthropoda, Insecta, Diptera, Sciaridae. The record is from RefSeq and is a predicted model, not a curated record.
AUUUCUUCGACUUAAGCUUAGACUAAUCAUUCCUAGACAGGAAUUACGUACGGCGAAAAGUGGCCCCUACAUCAGUUUGUAUAAUAUUCAUAUUUCGUAAGACGUUACACUAACACAUGUUACGUUAUAAAUUGUAGGCGUUGACUCUUUUGAUAGUUGUCAAUUUUCCAUGUUGUUUUUCUUCCGUGUCGCGACGUUUUGAUUUUA